AGGAUUAACGCUGGCGGCGUGCAUGAAACAUGCAAGUCGAGCGCGGUGUGAUGCGGGGUAACCCAAUUCACAUCUAGCGGCGAACGGGUGAGUAACACGUGAGCAACCUACCUUUGAGUUGGGGAUAGCCCUGGGAAACCAGGAUUAAUACCCGAUGUGGUCACAACAGGACAUCCUGAUGUGAGUAAAGGCGCAAGCCGCUCAAUGACGGGCUCGCGGCCUAUUAGCUUGUUGGUGGGGUAACGGCCUACCAAGGCGAUGAUGGGUAGCUGGUCUGAGAGGACGAUCAGCCACACUGGGACUGAGACACGGCCCAGACUCCUACGGGAGGCAGCAGUUAGGAAUUUUCCGCAAUGGGCGAAAGCCUGACGGAGCAACGCCGCGUGAGUGAUGAAGACCUUAGGGUUGUAAAGCUCUGUCGGAGGGGAAGAACACAAUGACGGUACCUCCAAGAACGCCCGGCUAACUACGUGCCAGCAGCCGCGGUAA
This 489-nucleotide ribosomal RNA is filed under the name uncultured bacterium. Its description in RNAcentral is "SSU rRNA". It matches the Rfam family "Bacterial small subunit ribosomal RNA", at positions 26 to 523 of the family's 1533-position model. The record is from RNAcentral.